RNAcentral lists this ribosomal RNA (980 nucleotides) under Chryseobacterium oranimense. RNAcentral describes it as "bacterial SSU rRNA". It matches the Rfam family "Bacterial small subunit ribosomal RNA", at positions 476 to 1472 of the family's 1533-position model. The record is from RNAcentral. Lineage: Bacteria; Pseudomonadati; Bacteroidota; Flavobacteriia; Flavobacteriales; Weeksellaceae.
GUCUAUUCGAAUAAGCACCGGCUAACUCCGUGCCAGCAGCCGCGGUAAUACGGAGGGUGCAAGCGUUAUCCGGAUUUAUUGGUUUAAAGGGUCCGUAGGCUGAUGUGUAAGUCAGUGGUGAAAUCUCACAGCUUAACUGUGAAACUGCCAUUGAUACUGCAUGUCUUGAGUGUUGUUGAAGUAGCUGGAAUAAGUAGUGUAGCGGUGAAAUGCAUAGAUAUUACUUAGAACACCAAUUGCGAAGGCAGGUUACUAAGCAACAACUGACGCUGAUGGACGAAAGCGUGGGGAGCGAACAGGAUUAGAUACCCUGGUAGUCCACGCCGUAAACGAUGCUAACUCGUUUUUGGGUUUUCGGAUUCAGAGACUAAGCGAAAGUGAUAAGUUAGCCACCUGGGGAGUACGUUCGCAAGAAUGAAACUCAAAGGAAUUGACGGGGGCCCGCACAAGCGGUGGAUUAUGUGGUUUAAUUCGAUGAUACGCGAGGAACCUUACCAAGGCUUAAAUGGGAAAUGACAGGCUUAGAAAUAGGCUUUUCUUCGGACAUUUUUCAAGGUGCUGCAUGGUUGUCGUCAGCUCGUGCCGUGAGGUGUUAGGUUAAGUCCUGCAACGAGCGCAACCCCUGUCACUAGUUGCCAUCAUUCAGUUGGGGACUCUAGUGAGACUGCCUACGCAAGUAGAGAGGAAGGUGGGGAUGACGUCAAAUCAUCACGGCCCUUACGCCUUGGGCCACACACGUAAUACAAUGGCCGGUACAGAGGGCAGCUACACAGCGAUGUGAUGCAAAUCUCGAAAGCCGGUCUCAGUUCGGAUUGGAGUCUGCAACUCGACUCUAUGAAGCUGGAAUCGCUAGUAAUCGCGCAUCAGCCAUGGCGCGGUGAAUACGUUCCCGGGCCUUGUACACACCGCCCGUCAAGCCAUGGAAGUCUGGGGUACCUGAAGUCGGUGACCGUAACAGGAGCUGCCUAGGGUAAAAAGCC